AUUUAAAUAGCUUAUAUAAGAGUAUGGUGCUGAAGAUACCAAGGAAAAGAAAUUUUUUUAAAUA
This 64-nucleotide transfer RNA is filed under the name Eolachesilla chilensis. RNAcentral describes it as "tRNA-Phe". Lineage: Eukaryota; Metazoa; Arthropoda; Insecta; Psocodea; Lachesillidae. The record is from RNAcentral.